AACGGUAACAGGAAGCAGCUUGCUGCUUCGCUGACGAGUGGCGGACGGGUGAGUAAUGUCUGGGAAACUGCCUGAUGGAGGGGGAUAACUACUGGAAACGGUAGCUAAUACCGCAUAACGUCGCAAGACCAAAGAGGGGGACCUUCGGGCCUCUUGCCAUCGGAUGUGCCCAGAUGGGAUUAGCUAGUAGGUGGGGUAACGGCUCACCUAGGCGACGAUCCCUAGCUGGUCUGAGAGGAUGACCAGCCACACUGGAACUGAGACACGGUCCAGACUCCUACGGGAGGCAGCAGUGGGGAAUAUUGCACAAUGGGCGCAAGCCUGAUGCAGCCAUGCCGCGUGUAUGAAGAAGGCCUUCGGGUUGUAAAGUACUUUCAGCGGGGAGGAAGGUGUUGAGGUUAAUAACCUCAGCAAUUGACGUUACCCGCAGAAGAAGCACCGGCUAACUCCGUGCCAGCAGCCGCGGUAAUACGGAGGGUGCAAGCGUUAAUCGGAAUUACUGGGCGUAAAGCGCACGCAGGCGGUCUGUCAAGUCGGAUGUGAAAUCCCCGGGCUCAACCUGGGAACUGCAUUCGAAACUGGCAGGCUAGAGUCUUGUAGAGGGGGGUAGAAUUCCAGGUGUAGCGGUGAAAUGCGUAGAGAUCUGGAGGAAUACC
Molecule: ribosomal RNA, 656 nt
Filed under: uncultured Pseudomonadota bacterium
Lineage: Bacteria; Pseudomonadati; Pseudomonadota
Description: bacterial SSU rRNA
Rfam family: Bacterial small subunit ribosomal RNA
Source: RNAcentral